RNAcentral lists this non-coding RNA (88 nucleotides) under Pseudomonas sp. NFACC45. The record is from RNAcentral. Lineage: Bacteria; Pseudomonadati; Pseudomonadota; Gammaproteobacteria; Pseudomonadales; Pseudomonadaceae.
CUCGAUGGUGGCUGUGCGCAUGGCGCCUUCGGGCGCGCCGGUUUGGUGACUUCACCGGUCUACUAACUUGCGCACAGCUGCCACCAAU